AUGGCAGAUGAAAAAGCUGAUAAACUGGAUACUAAAGAGAAGAAACUCAAAGCCAAGAGGGCUGAUGGUGACAGGGUGAAAAAGGGUGACAUGACCUCAAAGCUAAAAAGCCCACGAAAGGGAAGCUUCAUUGCAGCUGAAAUCCUGUCCUUGUCUGAGGAACUGGCAGAUGUUCCCAAUCUGCUACAUAUUGCAGAAGGGCCAUGCACAAGAGGAAGUACUUAGCCGCUAAAUCCAAAGUUGAAAAAAAAAAAAAAAAAUGAAGGAAAGGUGUGUGGUGACAAGCAGGGUGGUGCCCAGAUAGUUAAACUUCGCAAAAUCCCUAGAUAUUAUUCUACUGGAGAUGUGCCUCGAAAGCUGUUGAGCCACAGCCAAAAACCCUUCAGUCAGCACUUGAGAAAACUACGAGCCACAGUCACCCCCGGGGCCAUUCUGAUCAUUCUCACUGAGUGCUACAGAGGCAAGAGGGUGGUUUUCCUGAAGCAGGUGGCUAGUGGCUUGUUAGUUGUGACUGGAUCUCUGGCCCUCAAUUGAGUUCCUCUACAAAGAACACACCAGAAAUUUGUCAUUGCCAUCUCAACCAAAAUUAAUAUCAGUAAUGUAAAAAUCCCAAAACAUCUUACUGACAUUUCAAGAAGAAGCGGCUAUGGAAGCCCACACACCAGGAAGGUGAGAUCUUCAACACAGAAAAAACAAAUACAAGAUUACAGGGCAGCACAAGAUUGAUCAGAAAACUGUGGACUCACUAAUUUUCCCCAAAAUCAAAGCUAUUCCUCAGCUCCAGGACCACCUGCAUCUGUGUUUGCACUGACAAAUGGAAUUUAUCCUCACAAAUUGGUGUUCUAA
This 846-nucleotide long non-coding RNA is filed under the name Homo sapiens (human). Its description in RNAcentral is "non-protein coding lnc-DGKB-2:1". The record is from RNAcentral. Lineage: Eukaryota; Metazoa; Chordata; Mammalia; Primates; Hominidae.